Molecule: ribosomal RNA, 229 nt
Filed under: uncultured bacterium
Lineage: Bacteria
Description: partial 16S ribosomal RNA
Rfam family: Bacterial small subunit ribosomal RNA
Source: RNAcentral
UGCGUAGGCGGAUUAAUAAGUCAGUGGUGAAAACCUUCAGCUUAACUGGAGACUUGCCAUUGAUACUGUUAGUCUUGAGUAUGGUCAAGGUAGGCGGAAUGUGUAAUGUAGCGGUGAAAUGCUUAGAUAUUACACAGAACACCGAUUGCGAAGGCAGCUUACUGGUCCAUAACUGACGCUGAGGCACGAAAGCGUGGGUAGCGAACAGGAUUAGAUACCCUGGUAGUCC